RNAcentral lists this ribosomal RNA (499 nucleotides) under uncultured Glomeromycotina. RNAcentral describes it as "partial small subunit ribosomal RNA". It matches the Rfam family "Eukaryotic small subunit ribosomal RNA", at positions 591 to 1092 of the family's 1831-position model. The record is from RNAcentral. Lineage: Eukaryota; Fungi; Glomeromycota.
CCAAUAGCGUAUAUUAAAGUUGUUGCAGUUAAAAAGCUCGUAGUUGAAUUUCGGGAUCAAAUUGUCGGUCGUGCCUCGGUACGCACUGGCGUUAUUGGUUCCUCCCUUCUGAAGAACCGCGAUGUCAUUAAUUUGGUGUCGCGGGGAAUCAGGACUGUUACUUUGAAAAAAUUAGAGUGUUUAAAGCAGGCUCGCGCUUGAAUACAUUAGCAUGGAAUAAUGAAAUAGGACGUUUGAUUCUAUUUUGUUGGUUUCUAGGAUCGACGUAAUGAUUAAUAGGGUUAGUUGGGGGCAUUAGUAUUCAAUUGUCAGAGGUGAAAUUCUUGGAUUUAUUGAAGACUAACUACUGCGAAAGCAUUUGCCAAGGAUGUUUUCAUUAAUCAAGAACGAAAGUUAGGGGAUCGAAGACGAUCAGAUACCGUCGUAGUCUUAACCAUAAACUAUGCCGACUAGGGAUCGGAUGAUGUUAAUUUUUUAAUGACUCAUUCGGCGCCUUACG